Molecule: unclassified non-coding RNA, 27 nt
Filed under: Mus musculus (house mouse)
Lineage: Eukaryota; Metazoa; Chordata; Mammalia; Rodentia; Muridae
Description: oocyte_clustered_small_RNA8861
Source: RNAcentral
UACAGAUCAUUUGAAUAUAACUUAUUC